UGAGGAAUAUUGGUCAAUGGACGAGAGUCUGAACCAGCCAAGUAGCGUGAAGGAUGACUGCCCUAUGGGUUGUAAACUUCUUUUAUACGGGAAUAAAGUGAGGUACGUGUGCCUUUUUGUAUGUACCGUAUGAAUAAGGAUCGGCUAACUCCGUGCCAGCAGCCGCGGUAAUACGGAGGAUCCGAGCGUUAUCCGGAUUUAUUGGGUUUAAAGGGAGCGUAGGCGGACGCUUAAGUCAGUUGUGAAAGUUUGCGGCUCAACCGUAAAAUUGCAGUUGAUACUGGGUGUCUUGAGUACAGUAGAGGCAGGCGGAAUUCGUGGUGUAGCGGUGAAAUGCUUAGAUAUCACGAAGAACUCCGAUUGCGAAGGCAGCCUGCUGGACUGUAACUGACGCUGAUGCUCGAAAGUGUGGGUAUCAAACAGGAUUAGAUACCCUGGUAGUCCACACAGUAAACGAUGAAUACUCGCUGUUUGCGAUAUACAGUAAGCGGCCAAGCGAAAGCGUUAAGUAUUCCACCUGGGGAGUACGCCGGCAACGGUGAAACUCAAAGGAAUUGACGGGGGCCCGCACAAGCGGAGGAACAUGUGGUUUAAUUCGAUGAUACGCGAGGAACCUUACCCGGGCUUGAAUUGCAACUGAAUGAUGUGGAGACAUGUCAGCCGCAAGGCAGUUGUGAAGGUGCUGCAUGGUUGUCGUCAGCUCGUGCCGUGAGGUGUCGGCUUAAGUGCCAUAACGAGCGCAACCCUUAUCGAUAGUUACCAUCAGGUUAUGCUGGGGACUCUGUCGAGACUGCCGUCGUAAGAUGUGAGGAAGGUGGGGAUGACGUCAAAUCAGCACGGCCCUUACGUCCGGGGCUACACACGUGUUACAAUGGGGGGUACAGAAGGCAGCUACACGGCGACGUGAUGCUAAUCCCGAAAGCCUCUCUCAGUUCGGAUUGGAGUCCGCAACCCGACUCCAUGAAGCUGGAUUCGCUAGUAAUCGCGCAUCAGCCACGGCGCGGUGAAUACGUUCCC
RNAcentral lists this ribosomal RNA (1017 nucleotides) under uncultured organism. RNAcentral describes it as "bacterial SSU rRNA". It matches the Rfam family "Bacterial small subunit ribosomal RNA", at positions 355 to 1375 of the family's 1533-position model. The record is from RNAcentral.